This 253-nucleotide ribosomal RNA is filed under the name uncultured bacterium. Its description in RNAcentral is "partial 16S ribosomal RNA". It matches the Rfam family "Bacterial small subunit ribosomal RNA", at positions 524 to 776 of the family's 1533-position model. The record is from RNAcentral.
UACGUAGGGGGCAAGCGUUGUCCGGAAUCAUUGGGCGUAAAGCGCGUGUAGGCGGCUCGAUAAGUCUGCUGGGAAAGUCCAGGGCUCAACCCUGGGAUGCCGGUGGAUACUGUCGAGCUCGAGUCCGGAAGAGGCGAGUGGAAUUCCUGGUGUAGCGGUGAAAUGCGCAGAUAUCAGGAGGAACACCAAUGGCGAAGGCAGCUCGCUGGGACGUGACUGACGCUGAGACGCGAAAGCGUGGGGAGCAAACAGG